RNAcentral lists this ribosomal RNA (583 nucleotides) under uncultured bacterium. RNAcentral's name for it is "bacterial SSU rRNA". It matches the Rfam family "Bacterial small subunit ribosomal RNA", at positions 102 to 681 of the family's 1533-position model. The record is from RNAcentral.
ACGGGUGAGUAAUGUCUGGGAAACUGCCUGAUGGAGGGGGAUAACUACUGGAAACGGUAGCUAAUACCGCAUAACGUCGCAAGACCAAAGAGGGGGACCUUCGGGCCUCUUGCCAUCAGAUGUGCCCAGAUGGGAUUAGCUAGUAGGUGGGGUAAUGGCUCACCUAGGCGACGAUCCCUAGCUGGUCUGAGAGGAAGACCAGCCACACUGGAACUGAGACACGGUCCAGACUCCUACGGGAGGCAGCAGUGGGGAAUAUUGCACAAUGGGCGCAAGCCUGAUGCAGCCAUGCCGCGUGUAUGAAGAAGGCCUUCGGGUUGUAAAGUACUUUCAGCGGGGAGGAAGGUGUUGUGGUUAAUAACCGCAGCAAUUGACGUUACCCGCAGAAGAAGCACCGGCUAACUCCGUGCCAGCAGCCGCGGUAAUACGGAGGGUGCGAGCGUUAAUCGGAAUUACUGGGCGUAAAGCGCACGCAGGCGGUCUGUCAAGUCGGAUGUGAAAUCCCCGGGCUCAACCUGGGAACUGCAUUCGAAACUGGCAGGCUAGAGUCUUGUAGAGGGGGGUAGAAUUCCAGGUGUAGCGG